GGGGUUAUACAUUUAACUUCAAAAAGGGGGGGGGGGGUAUAAAAAAGAAGAUGUGGUAUGAUUGCCAAUGAGACAACUAUCCACAAAAGACCAAAAUGAAACAGACAUUAACAACUAUAGGUCACCGUACGGCCUUCAACAAUGAGCAAAGCACAUACCGCAUAGUCAGCUAUAAAAGGGUGUGGUUUUCUCCUAAAACAAUAUUUUGAUCCCAAAUUUUAUGAGAACAAAUUUAUUAUGGUCAAGCAGAUGAAUACCGUAAAUAGUUUUAAUUUAAACAAAAAUAAAUGGGUGAUGGUGUUGAAAAGUAAAUAGUUAAUAUACUCAAAAAAGAACAUACCGCCCCCUGUAUGAAGCAAAAUAUUCGGUCAAUAAAUGUUUUCUUGAAUAUAUUGAUAUGAAUAGUAUUUUGGACAAUGCUGAAAAUAAGAAAUGAUGAUACAGACGUGAAUAGUUCAAUAAAAAUAAGACAGGGGGUCAUGAGGAAGUUUGCCCAUGAUUCAAUUGCACCUUUACAUUAACCAAAAGAUACAAUUUAAUACAAAUUUCCAUAGACAUAUUGCGAUUGUAAAUAAUUAUUAGUUUCGUUUUAAAAAAAAAGGCACAG
RNAcentral lists this long non-coding RNA (607 nucleotides) under Mytilus galloprovincialis (Mediterranean mussel). The record is from RNAcentral. Lineage: Eukaryota; Metazoa; Mollusca; Bivalvia; Mytilida; Mytilidae.